GCACCUGGCUAGUCAUUAUCAGAAAGAGAAUCAGUUAGACAAGCUCCCUAAAGGAAUGGCUGUGAUUCUCCUAGUUCCAGGCCCUGUUGUUCAGGGAUAGCUGUGCAAUCUUUUGGGAAAUCAAAUUUGGAGCCUGAGGCAAUCAUGGAUUCAGAACAGAUGGUCCUGGUACCUCAGUCCUGAAACCAAAUAUAGUGUUUAAGAUGGUCUUUCCACGAAGGAAGAUCCAUUGAACUUGAACUUUGACUUCAAAUGUUUAGAAGCAUGUAGGAGCAGACAAAAGCUCGGGCCUUUCUGUCCCUGCUUCUCUAUCUACACCUAAUGUGUUCUUACCACUUGUGCACUGCACACUCCCUGCUGGGGCCACCUCCUCCCAGAGCCCAGCCAUUGGCUGUCCUCAUUCUUCCUCUCUUGCUCAAGUGACUUAUCUGAUUAUCAUAAGGUCCAAAGCCCAUUAGGCUCCUACACUCACAAGAGACCUUGACUCCUGGCCCUAUGACCUCCUCCAGUCGAAAGCCAAUGAGACUCCCUUCUUGAGCAACUGCUCCCACGUCAUGCUGCUCGCGCUUGCAAAGAAGAAAGGAGAUGAGAAAAGACACAAGGUUAAGACAUUGGAGCUGCUAGCUCUUGGCUUACAGCUGCUCGUGGACAGGAAAAAUUCAAGGCUCCCUGCCCUCAUUGCCGACCAUUGCCCAACCACACCUAAGAAGGAGUGUGCAGCAAGUCCUGCUAGUUUUGGAACCACAAACAGUCUAGAUUGAUUUGUUCUUAUGGCUCAUUGGGUAACUCUGCUGAUCUCUUCCCUCUUUGCCAGGCCAUGAGGCUCCCUGCUGAACCAUGACCCAUCCAGAUAGGCAGGGACAUCAGCCUCUCGGUUCUAAAGAUCUGAGAUGCGCAGUGCAGCCACCAAGUUCAACAGCUCCUUCCAAGGUGUGAUGAGACAUGAGCACAAUCUCUGCUUCCUCGCUUGCCAUCCCCAGAUCUUUCCCAGCACAGUCUUUCUUUCUAAAUCAACCAUGUCACACCAGCUCCAGAUGUGUCUGAGUGAUUGAGUGGUGGCUGGAAAUACUCAGAAUCAAAGUCUGUGACAGUGUCAUUUUGUCAGAUCUGCUUAAAGUUUUGUGUUUGUGGGUUCUGUAAAGAUAUUUAUAUCUAUAGGACAUACAAUGCAAAGAGCUUUAGGGUGCCGCACCUGCACCAUGAACUACCACCAGCUGGUGAACUCAGCUGCCAUAUCAGCCGAGAUCCAGAGUUUUGAGUCAGUCUACCCCAGUCUCCACUACACCUGCCUGCUGCUGGAGGGCCAUGGAGGAGCCAGUGCUGCAGAACCAGACCCAGGAGCCUGGCAUUGCCCUCAAAGUCGGAACCUGAGUAUGGCCAUGACAGGAGAUGGCAGCCGCCCCCAGCAUGGACUGUGAGACCUUGGAGCAGCUCCGAGAAGCCUCAGAGACCCAUGGAGGAUCCAAGGCGAAGAUGCAAUGGCAGAGGAGGAGACUGCAGGGCCUGCAGCAUCCCUAGAACAAGCAAAAACAGCAGGUCCUGUGGAAAGAUGUUUUCAAAAAGUGGACUCGAGAAGUGGGAAGGAAAGAUGGAGGAGUAGAGCCUUGCAUGGGAGAGAACACAGGGCGUGGCACUGCCCACAGAUGGUAAACACACGGUUGUGCCCAGGGAACCUCGGGGUGCUGGGCAUCGAGAGGGAGGGAAGGUGGGUGGAGGACUGGAGUUCGCACAAAUUCUGCCCACCCCACCCCCGGAUACCCCACCUAGCAGCAAGAUCACCCUGACUCUGGACAACCACAGGAUAUCUGAGUCGAGUCCCUGUAAUGGUCCAGUAUAAACAGUGCUUUGGAAAUCAGAAACCUUGAACCAGAUCAAUGACUCAUUGUAGGAAGUCUCAUCCAAAUCAGAUAAGGAGUCUUCUUGGAGACAGGACCUGCACUGCUAUCCGGUCUUCUUGCUGGACCAGGACCUCCCAUCCUGUGGGAAGACACUGCCUGUAUCUUCUUGUGUGGCCGUGGGAUGUGUAGAGGAAAGAACUCAGCAUCUGACAGCUCUGACGUCAGUUGUAGCCACUUCACAGAGUCACUUCUUCACAGUAUGGAGAAGCCCAGACCAGUUUGACAAGUGACACAUUGCCCAGUCGCAGAUCCACAGAGAAGAGUCUUUUGGCUGAUAUGAUAGCAGCGUAUCACAGACACAUCAGUGCCCCAUGCGCGACCUGCAGAAUGUCUCCAUGGAGCCCUCAUCAAAUUACAGAAAUGUCAAGCAUUCCUGGAAACCCAUCCGAAAUGCUGAUUCAGCAAAACCUCUCAGGACCACAGACCCAGAACCAGGGGGCCCUCUCUGUGCUAUUUGUUCCUCCUGAUGCUUAUCUGACACCAUGUCAUAUUGCAGUUAGCUCGUACCUUUCUUAUGCUACGUCUUCAUUGUGCAAGCUUCAGCCUGUGCCACAUUUCCCCGGGAUGUAGGAAGCUCUUACUGCACAGCUGUUCAAGAGAACUGUAUUACAUGAUUCAUUGCGUCACCACCCUCAAAACAUCCCCAGUACCAGGCUUCGCCCAACUCAGCCCAGGUCCCUGGACCCUUCUGUAUCGGUUCCUUUUCUAUUGCUGUGAUAAAACACCAGGACCAAGGCAACAAGGUUUUGUUUGGACUCGUGACUUCAGAGAAAUGAGCAUCCAUCACUAUCAUGGUUGGAAAGAGUGACAGCAGGGAAUUAUGGUGGCCUAAGCAGAGAGCACACUCUUCAACUGCUCUGAAACCUCAAAGCCUGCCCCUGGACAUCUUCCCUCCAUCAAGGCUUCACCUCCUAACAGCUUCAACCUCCAUCAAACAGCUCCACCAAUUGGGUACUAAGUAUUCAAAUAUCUGAGCCUAUGGAAGACAUGCUUUCUCCAACCGCCACACCCUCUGACUGCAGGUCCUAAGGGCUUUACUAACGCACAGACCCACCCAGCCUGGCCUCAUCACAGCUCCGCCACCUCCACAGACAGGCCUGCCAUCCGACAGGCAACUUUCUUCUUGUUUCCGCUUGCCCUGUGGUUGGUGUACCCCACGUUAUAACCUUCCCCAACUCUUUGCCUAAAUUCCCCCUCCCUAAAAUUCAAGAGCUAAGCUGAAAUAAAAGGAAAAUCCAACUGAAAAGUUGGAGAAGGGUUUUUCAGUAAA
Molecule: long non-coding RNA, 3168 nt
Organism: Arvicola amphibius (Eurasian water vole)
Lineage: Eukaryota; Metazoa; Chordata; Mammalia; Rodentia; Cricetidae
Exons: 4
Source: RefSeq, a predicted model, not a curated record